UGUGUAAAACACGAAACACGAAAACCCUGUUUCGGUUUGUUUUUUAGGUAUAAUUAAAAUCGAGGCUCCAAAUUCAACAUCUAUCUGCCCAAACUUUGCCCUUUCACUUUUGUGUGCCCACAUUUUAAAUCGAAUCAUUCCAAACUUCACAAGGUUGUGCAAGUUUGAAAUGUCCAAAUAUGCAAAGUGAUGCUAGUGUGAGCUACUAUAGCACGGUGAGAUUAACGUUAUGUUCGAGAAAUCUGUCAAUAGCAGAGUACAGAGGCCCCUAAGAACCUUGGCUGGGCACAAAGAGAGCGCCACGAGCGUCAGCUCCCCCAUAAUAGCAACAUCAACAUAUGACGCAGUAGCAACGAGUGUUGCCACCGGCAAAGUGCGUGUAGCCAACGAGAAACAGCAUAUGAUUUGGCUUUCAAUAGUUGCUGAAGGGUUUGCAUUGGCACGGAAUGUCAAACUCUGAAUGUUUACUGGUUUUCAAUUUUCUUCUAUGUUAUUUUUUUUCGCAAUUUUUGACUUAAUUCAAUUUUGCCUUUCAUGUGCUAGUGCAGUACACCUGGGGUCAGUGUUGGAUAUACUUCAUUUUUGUCGCUCCAUUGUCGCAAUAGAAUCAAUGCAUUUUGUAAAUAUGAAUUUGUGCCAAAAUAACGAAUAAAAG
Drosophila novamexicana is the source of this 655-nucleotide long non-coding RNA. RefSeq lists it as uncharacterized. Lineage: Eukaryota; Metazoa; Arthropoda; Insecta; Diptera; Drosophilidae. The record is from RefSeq and is a predicted model, not a curated record. The transcript is spliced from 4 exons.